RNAcentral lists this ribosomal RNA (397 nucleotides) under uncultured bacterium. RNAcentral describes it as "bacterial SSU rRNA". It matches the Rfam family "Bacterial small subunit ribosomal RNA", at positions 28 to 422 of the family's 1533-position model. The record is from RNAcentral.
GAUGAACGCUAGCGGCAGGCUUAAUACAUGCAAGUCGAGGGGCAGCAUGAGUAGCAAUACUUGAUGGCGACCGGCAAACGGGUGCGGAACACGUACGCAACCUUCCUUUAAGUGGAGAAUAGCCCGGGGAAACCCGGAUUAAUACUCCGUAACAUUAUGAUGUGGCAUCACUUUAUAAUUAUAGAUUUAUCGCUUAAAGAUGGGCGUGCGCCUGAUUAGGUAGNGGCGGGGUAAUGGCCCACCAAGCCUUCGAUCAGUAACUGGUGUGAGAGCACGACCAGUCACACGGGCACUGAGACACGGGCCCGACUCCUACGGGAGGCAGCAGUAAGGAAUAUUGGUCAAUGGACGCAAGUCUGAACCAGCCAUGCCGCGUGGAGGAUGAAGGUCCUCUGGA